UACGUAGGGUGCAAGCGUUGUCCGGAAUUAUUGGGCGUAAAGAGCUCGUAGGCGGUUUGUCGCGUCUGCUGUGAAAACUCGGGGCUUAACUCCGGGCCUGCAGUGGGUACGGGCAGACUAGAGUGCGGUAGGGGAGACUGGAAUUCCUGGUGUAGUGGUGAAAUGCGUAGAGAUCGGGAGGAACACCCGCGGCGAAGGCGGCCACCUGGACCAGGCCUGACGCUGAGGCGCGAAGGCCGGGGGAGCGAACGGG
This 253-nucleotide ribosomal RNA is filed under the name uncultured bacterium. RNAcentral's name for it is "partial 16S ribosomal RNA". It matches the Rfam family "Bacterial small subunit ribosomal RNA", at positions 524 to 776 of the family's 1533-position model. The record is from RNAcentral.